CCUACGGGAGGCAGCAGUGAGGAAUAUUGGUCAAUGGCCGGAAGGCUGAACCAGCCAUGCCGCGUGAAGGUCAGUGCCCUAUGGGCGUUAAACUUCUUUUGUGCGGGAGCAAUAAUGGUCACGUGUGGCAAGACGAGGGUACCGUACGAAUAAGCAUCGGCUAACUCCGUGCCAGCAGCCGCGGUAAUACGGGGGAUGCAAGCGUUAUCCGGAUUUAUUGGGUUUAAAGGGGGCGUAGGAUGGGAGGUAAGUCAGGGGGUAAAUGCCCCCGGUCAACGGGGUGAAGUGCCAUUGAUACUGCCUUGCUGGAAUGCAGAGGCGGUGGGAGGAAUUCGUGGUGUAGCGGUGAAAUGCAUAGAUAUCAGGCAGAACACCGGUUGCGAAGGCAUCUUACGAAUCCGCGAUUGACGCUGAUGCACGAAAGCGUGGGUAGCAAACAGGAUUAGAUACCCGAGUAGUC
This 460-nucleotide ribosomal RNA is filed under the name uncultured bacterium. RNAcentral describes it as "partial 16S ribosomal RNA". It matches the Rfam family "Bacterial small subunit ribosomal RNA", at positions 338 to 795 of the family's 1533-position model. The record is from RNAcentral.